CGCAUCCUGUUCAAGCCCACACAGAACCCCUCGCUUGUAGGUGUUGGCGCGCACACACACACACACACGGGCGCGUGUUUUGCGCUCCAGCACAGAUUCUAGCAUUGAAUUUCGACGCCCCUCCCUGCUUACCACCGGCACUGCCACGCUGUAUGCGUCUCGGGUUGGCAACGUAUUGGCCAUGCCGCUGUGCGCCUCGCCUGUGCGGCUUCAGCUUUGCCGCACGCCUUUUGUGUUCGGCGCCGGUGGAAAGUGGUGGAAGGAGGGGCCUCCGGACUACACCCGCGCCAACCGUCGGCGCAUGGAGCUGGAGCAGCAGCGCAUCGAGUCGAGUCAGUACCUGCCGCCGAUAGAGCCGACCGCCGAGCAAGCGUGCCAUCUCUAUCGGCGCCUUUUGAAGGAGGGCUACAAGACGCUAGUGGUGACAGACAAGGACUUUUACCGCCGCAAGGUGCGCUACGAGCUCGAGGUCACCUCGCGCCAGACGAGCUCUCGAGUGCGAGGGAUCAUGUUUGAAAAGGGCCACUGGAUGCUGGAGAACAAGCUCGGCGGGAUCAUCUAGCGCGCGCUUCCUCCGGGCUGUCAUGCUCUAGCGACGCUGAGCACGCGUUGGGGAAACUGCGCGUGUAUGUGCGGGCGUCCAAACCAUGUUCGUGGUGUGGUGAUGGCUGCCGCUGCCUCUUGUCGUCUUUUCUCUCUAGUGUGCGUGUCUCCGAAGAACAGUAAUCAAGAGGCAGCAAAGGAUGCUGAAGGAGAGAUGCCGCAAGGCUCGCCCUGCUCUCGUGCCUGUGGUCCAUCCUUCCUCUCGCACUUUCUCUCUCUGUCUGGGCGUGUCGUUCGGCACUUCUCCUCUCCUCCAUCUCUGCAGCCACAGAGCAGUGCUUAUUGUGUAAUGAUCGUUCGCGCCAUUUUAUGGUGCGGAUUGGUCACCUUGUGAAUACCGGAGGAGGGAAACAGCGGUAGUCGGCGGUGUCGCACACGGCGUCUGUGUAUGUGUGUGUGCACGUCAAGCGCACGUACACAUGUUCGAGGGAUGUGCACACGCACACACACACACAAAAGCAAAGAAGUCCUUGUGUGGGCGAAAAUCUGAAAGCGCGAUGCUCGCCGACAGCCGGUGUCGCAUUCCUUUCUCUCUCUCUGUCGAGUAGGUCGGUUCGCUGGAUCAGCUUUCCGUGGUCAAUGAUAAUAAGGAGUAGCGUUGCCGCGCACGCACGUGGCCCUCUCCGUUGUUGCUG
Molecule: unclassified non-coding RNA, 1238 nt
Filed under: Leishmania donovani
Lineage: Eukaryota; Euglenozoa; Kinetoplastea; Trypanosomatida; Trypanosomatidae
Description: gene:LdHU3.14.0820(CDS-product:hypothetical_prote in_conserved)
Source: RNAcentral